UACGGAGGGGGCAAGCGUUGUUCGGAAUUACUGGGCGUAAAGGGCGCGCAGGCGGCUGCUCAAGUCAGGCGUGAAAGGCCUGGGCUCAACCCGGGAAUUGCGCUUGAGACUGGGCUGGCUUGAGUGCGGGAGAGGAUGGUGGAAUUCCCAGUGUAGAGGUGAAAUUCGUAGAUAUCAGGAGGAAGACCGGUGGCGAAGGCGCACAUCUGGCCCAAUACUGACGCUGAGGCGCGAAAGCUAGGGGAGCAAACGGG
This 254-nucleotide ribosomal RNA is filed under the name uncultured bacterium. RNAcentral describes it as "partial 16S ribosomal RNA". It matches the Rfam family "Bacterial small subunit ribosomal RNA", at positions 524 to 776 of the family's 1533-position model. The record is from RNAcentral.